UACGUAGGGUGCGAGCGUUGUCCGGAAUUAUUGGGCGUAAAGAGCUCGUAGGCGGUUUGUCGCGUCGACUGUGAAAACUGGGGGCUUAACUCUCAGCUUGCAGUUGAUACGGGCAGACUUGAGUUCGGUAGGGGAGACUGGAAUUCCUGGUGUAGCGGUGAAAUGCGCAGAUAUCAGGAGGAACACCGGUGGCGAAGGCGGCUUGCUGGGCCAGUUCUGACGCUGAGGAGCGAAAGCGUGGGGAGCGAACAGG
Molecule: ribosomal RNA, 253 nt
Filed under: uncultured bacterium
Lineage: Bacteria
Description: partial 16S ribosomal RNA
Rfam family: Bacterial small subunit ribosomal RNA
Source: RNAcentral